RNAcentral lists this ribosomal RNA (497 nucleotides) under uncultured bacterium. Its description in RNAcentral is "partial 16S ribosomal RNA". It matches the Rfam family "Bacterial small subunit ribosomal RNA", at positions 28 to 507 of the family's 1533-position model. The record is from RNAcentral.
GAUGAACGCUGGCGGCGUGCCUAAUACAUGCAAGUCGAGCGAACGGACGAGAAGCUUGCUUCUCUGAUGUUAGCGGCGGACGGGAGAGUAACACGUGGAUAACCUACCUAUAAGACUGGGAUAACUUCGGGAAACCGGAUCUAAUACCGGAUGAUAUUUUGAACCGCAUGGUUCAAAAGUGAAAGACGGUCUUGCUGUCACUUAUAGAUGGAUCCGCGCUGCAUUAGCUAGUUGGUAAGGUAACGGCUUAGCAAGGCAACGAUGCAUAGCCGACCUGAGAGGGUGAUCGGACACACUGGAAGUGAGACACGGUCCAGACUCCUACGGUGGGAAGCAGUAGGGAAUCUUACGCGAUGGGCGAAAGCCUGACGGAGCAACGCCGCGUGAGUGAUGAAGGUCUUCGGAUCGGAAAGCGCUGUUAUUAGGGAAGAACAUAUGUGUAAGUAACUGUGCUCAUCUUGACGGUACCUAAUCAGAAAGCCCCGGCUAACUACGUG